Molecule: transfer RNA, 60 nt
Filed under: Epimeria cornigera
Lineage: Eukaryota; Metazoa; Arthropoda; Malacostraca; Amphipoda; Epimeriidae
Description: tRNA-His
Source: RNAcentral
AUCUUAAUAGUUUAAUUUAAAUAUUACUCUGUGGUUGUAAAGUUACUUAGGUUUAAGAUG